This is a non-coding RNA of Pelobates cultripes (western spadefoot toad), 239 nucleotides long. NCBI's taxonomy places the organism in Eukaryota, Metazoa, Chordata, Amphibia, Anura, Pelobatidae. The record is from the annotation of a GenBank genome assembly.
GGUAAAAUGACACAAAAAGUUAAGGAUAGUAUUAGACUAGUGACAGUUGCAGAAGAGGAAUCAGUCAGGAGCUAUUAACAGUUUAAUUGAUACGCUUUUAUGAAGAAGUGGGUUUUUAAUGAUUUUUUGAAGGAGUGGAGACUGGGUGAGCAUCUAACGGAGGAGGGAAGCGAGUUCCACAGGAACGGUGCAGCCCUCGAGAAAUCUUGAAGGCGAGCAUCAGAGGUGGGAGUACGGAC